Molecule: long non-coding RNA, 1142 nt
Filed under: Felis catus (domestic cat)
Lineage: Eukaryota; Metazoa; Chordata; Mammalia; Carnivora; Felidae
Description: lncRNA (ENSFCAG00000051648.1)
Source: RNAcentral
GUGGAGGCUGGGGCUGGAGGGUGGAGGCUGCGACUGGAGGCUGGAGGGUGGAGGCUGGGGCUGGAGGGUGGUGGGUGGAGGCUGGAGGGUAGAGGCUGGGGUUGGGGCUGGAGGGUGGAGGCUGGGGCUGGAGACUGGAGGCUGGGGCUGGAGGAUGGAUGCUGGAGCUGGGGCUGGAGGGUGGAAGCUGGGGCUAGAGACUGGAGGGUGGAGGGUAGAGGCUGGGGUUGGGGCUGGAGGGUGGAGGGUAGAGGCUGGGGUUGGGGCUGGAGGGUGGAGGCUGGGGCUGGAGGCUGGUCCAGCAAAGAACCUCAGUGACCGUAGAUGCUUGUGUCCAAGCAGAAAGACUGCCUUCUGCCUAAUGGAAGAGACGGGCAAUGGGAAUAUGGAGCCAGAAACUGGGUCGGCCCCUCCUUGUCAAGGCCCGGGGUCAGAGGUCAGCCUCCAGAGUUGGAGGCAGAAAAGAAUUCCAUCUGCAAGAUUCAAGCACUCUCGAAAGGUCCGGAUCCUCCCACAGCCGUUGCGACUUGCCCGAGCAGAACCGGUUCUCUCCUGGAUGCAAGUCAGACCGCCUAAUUCCACAUCUCUUUAAUUCUCUGCCCGACGCACCGACUUGUUCCGAGGAACAAAGAGGAGUGGUGGAGACCGCCCCACAGGACGGAGCGUCCACGACCUGUGUCAUUGGUGUUGUCUUUUUUUCUGUUUUUCGGGAUCCACUUAAAUGCCUCAAGUCGUACUAGCACAGGUACGAAUUCACCUUACAAGGAAGCCAGUCGGAAGGAAGAAAAUGGAUACCUUUCAGCUUCGGCAAUUAAGGAAAUUAACUACCAGGCUUAAGAAGUUCUUCCUGAAGGAAUUUACAAGAAGUAUUUUUCACAUACGCUACACUGUUUUACACCAGUAUAGGGAAACUUGGAGAAAACGAACUGUUACCUUGCAUAUGAUUAAAGAGGGAGAGACAGCUUGGGACAGAGACCCAACCUCCAACUUGGCGUUUCUGCGGCUCAGCCCCCAGGCCUGCAGCAUCGGGUCCCUUGGAAGGUCUGUUGGAAAUGCCCGUGCUCGUCCCCUCUGCGGGCCCCGGGUAGACCCUUCAAGGGCCCGGCCAUCUGGGUUCAGAGGCCUCCGGGAGGCCCCCAGGC